UUGACCUCGGAAUCAGGGUAGGGAAUACCCGCCUGAACUUAAGCAUUA
This 48-nucleotide ribosomal RNA is filed under the name Pleurostoma richardsiae. RNAcentral's name for it is "partial 28S ribosomal RNA". Lineage: Eukaryota; Fungi; Ascomycota; Sordariomycetes; Calosphaeriales; Pleurostomataceae. The record is from RNAcentral.